RNAcentral lists this transfer RNA (74 nucleotides) under Anilius scytale (false coral snake). Its description in RNAcentral is "tRNA-Asn". Lineage: Eukaryota; Metazoa; Chordata; Lepidosauria; Squamata; Aniliidae. The record is from RNAcentral.
UAGACCAAAGUCCGUUGGCUUGGACGGCUAGUUGUUAACUAGUUUUUUGUGGGAUCGAGGCCCGCUGGUCUAGA